GCGUUGUUCGGAAUCACUGGGCGUAAAGCGCACGUAGGCGGAUCGUUAAGUCAGGGGUGAAAUCCCGAGGCUCAACCUCGGAACUGCCCUUGAUACUGGCGAUCUUCGAGUCCGGGAGAGGUGAGUGGAACUCCGAGUGUAGAGGUGAAAUUCGUAGAUAUUCGGAAGAACACCAGUGGCGAAGGCGGCUCACUGGCCCGGUACUGACGCUGAGGUGCGAAAGCGU
RNAcentral lists this ribosomal RNA (226 nucleotides) under uncultured bacterium. RNAcentral describes it as "partial 16S ribosomal RNA". It matches the Rfam family "Bacterial small subunit ribosomal RNA", at positions 538 to 762 of the family's 1533-position model. The record is from RNAcentral.